Molecule: ribosomal RNA, 403 nt
Filed under: Bacteroidota bacterium
Lineage: Bacteria; Pseudomonadati; Bacteroidota
Description: Bacteroidetes bacterium partial 16S ribosomal RNA
Rfam family: Bacterial small subunit ribosomal RNA
Source: RNAcentral
UGGGGAAUAUUGCACAAUGGGGGAAACCCUGAUGCAGCGACGCCGCGUGAACGAAGAAGGUAUUCGUAUCGUAAAGUUCUGUCCUAUGGGAAGAUAAUGACAGUACCAUAGAAGAAAGCUCCGGCUAAAUACGUGCCAGCAGCCGCGGUAAUACGUAUGGAGCGAGCGUUGUCCGGAAUUAUUGGGCGUAAAGGGUACGCAGGCGGUUUAAUAAGUCGAAUGUUAAAGAUCGGGGCUCAACCCCGUAAAGCAUUGGAAACUGAUAAACUUGAGUAGUGGAGAGGAAAGUGGAAUUCCUAGUGUAGUGGUGAAAUGCGUAGAUAUAUGGAGGAACACCGGUGGCGAAAGCGGCUCUCUGGUCUGUAACUGACGCUGAGGCUCGAAAGCGUGGGGAGCGAACAGG